AGGACGAACGCUGGCGGCGUGCCUAAUACAUGCAAGUCGAACGGUCUUUCUAUGGAAGCUUGCUUCCACUGAGAAGAUAGUGGCGAACGGGUGAGUAACACGUGGGUAACCUGCCCAUAAGAGGGGGAUAACAUCCGGAAACGGGUGCUAAUACCGCAUAGUUUUCUUGAUCGCAUGAUCGGGAAAGGAAAGACGGCCUUUGUGCUGUCGCUUAUGGAUGGACCCGCGGCGUAUUAGUUAGUUGGUGAGGUAAUGGCUCACCAAGACGAUGAUACGUAGCCGACCUGAGAGGGUGAUCGGCCACAUUGGGACUGAGACACGGCCCAAACUCCUACGGGAGGCAGCAGUAGGGAAUCUUCCGCAAUGGACGAAAGUCUGACGGAGCAACGCCGCGUGAGUGAAGAAGGUUUUUCCGGAUCGUAAAACUCUGUUGUCAGAGAAGAACAAGUUGGAGAGUAACUGCUCCAGCCUUGACGGUAUCUGACCAGAAAGCCACGGCUAACUACGUGCCAGCCGCAGC
RNAcentral lists this ribosomal RNA (520 nucleotides) under uncultured bacterium. RNAcentral describes it as "bacterial SSU rRNA". It matches the Rfam family "Bacterial small subunit ribosomal RNA", at positions 26 to 518 of the family's 1533-position model. The record is from RNAcentral.